GCCUAGCUGGCUCAGUCAGUAGAGCAUGCAACUCUUGAUCUCAGGGUCGUGAGUUCGAGUCCCACGCUGGGCA
Suricata suricatta (meerkat) is the source of this 73-nucleotide non-coding RNA. The record is from the annotation of a RefSeq genome assembly. NCBI's taxonomy places the organism in Eukaryota, Metazoa, Chordata, Mammalia, Carnivora, Herpestidae.